UACAGCCAUAUCAUGUCAAAACACCAAUUCUCAUACAAUCACUGAAGUCAAGCAAUGUUGAGUUUGGUCAUUACCUAGAUGGGUGACCAGUUGGGAAUACCAGGUGCCGUAG
RNAcentral lists this ribosomal RNA (112 nucleotides) under Acanthosepion pharaonis. The record is from RNAcentral. Lineage: Eukaryota; Metazoa; Mollusca; Cephalopoda; Sepiida; Sepiidae.